Marmota flaviventris (yellow-bellied marmot) is the source of this 2127-nucleotide long non-coding RNA. RefSeq lists it as uncharacterized. The record is from RefSeq and is a predicted model, not a curated record. Lineage: Eukaryota; Metazoa; Chordata; Mammalia; Rodentia; Sciuridae.
CCCUGAGCAACUUUCCGAGACUCUGUCUCAAAAGAAAAAAUAACUUUUCUUUAUCUUAGAGCCAAAAGAACUGAGAUGAAGUAAAACAGGGAAAUUCAGUGGUUCUGAGUUACGUGACAAGCCACAGUCCCCCAGGAGCAUGGGGAACCUGAGAACGGGAACCUCCCCCUCCCCAGGAUGGGGAUAUGGAAUAAGGGAAAAGGAGGUCUAGUGGGUACAGAGAGAGGAGAGAAUGUGGCUCAGUGGCUACGCUUCCCUGGAUUGGAUCCCCAGUACAAAAAAAAAAGAAGAAGAAGACACAUAAACACGGAGAAGCCACGUGAAGAGAGGAUACACUGGCCCCAGAGCCUCCGAGGGAGCAUGACCCUGCCUACAGAACGAGGGAAGAAAAUCUGCUCUCUUCAGCCACCAGGUGCAAGAUCUAAUCCAGAAUCCAGCAUUCGAUGAUCACUUCCCCCGGGGCUUCUUCAUUCUGAAACGAUUCCUUGGUCUUUCCUGGCCUCUCGGCCUCUGGUUUGGAAGACUGUGGGGCAGUGGUCUCCGGGGAGCCCUCGUCUUGGGGCAGCCAUCAUGUAGUAGGUCCCUCACUUCAGUUUGCUGGAUGUUUCCUCAAGAUUAGAUCCAAGUUGUGCAUGUUGGCAGAAGCACCUCACAGGAACAGCUGCACCUUAUCAAUGCAUUACACUGGGAGACGGGCGAUGGGCUUAUCCCACUGACUCUUAGGUUGACUCUUCCCUCAGUGGAGACGGUAUCCACUGCGCAUGUCCAUGUUAAAUCCCUGUCCUUCGGUUGGCUUAGAACUGAAGACGACGCUUCCCACCGUGUGCAGAACCACGCACUACGCACACCUGCUACAAGGAGAGGGUGAAGACAGGCAAAGGAUGACACUCCUUCUAUCUAAAGGAGAUUCUUUCCCACAAGGGAAGCGCUCAAGAAACCUGGCAGGCCCUGAGUCCACUAGAGAAAAGGGGGCAACAGGUAGCACCGACAGUGUCAAGUCCAAGUCCAGCCCUGCUCAGGUGGUCCUUCGGCUUCUGCUGUUCUGCAGCCCUCAGAGUCCCAGAGGCAGGGGUCUGUGUCAUCAGGACCCCCAGGGAGGAGGAGGGUCACACCAGGUUGGCUGAUCUUCUGGAGACCACUGUCAUUUCCUCAGCCCACUGUGACCAUUUUAAGAGAAUAACCAGGGCACUUGCAGACUGGGUCCUGCUGUCUUGGAGGGAGUUGGACAUCUUGGCAGGGCCUGAGUCCCACAGGGGUCUUGAGCUUCUGCACUCCUCGGGUCCCCAGACUGGUCUCAGCUGAGGGUUCUUAUUCUCUCUUGGGAGGGAGAGACUCUGCAGUGGGUAGCCCAGGGUGGAGUCCCAGGGGUGCACCAGGAGGCUCUGAGCCUGAGUCUGCAGAGACACCAGGGCAGGGAGGUGUGGCUGAAGACAGUGGAGGUAGCAAGCUGAGCCCAAAGAAGGACACCCGUCCCUAAAGGCCACCCCUGAAGAUGACUGGACAGAUAGCACUGUCUUCAGGGCCUCUUAGAGUCAGGUGCUGAGGCUGACAGGGCCACCCAGGGAGGAGCUUGGGUCAGCAGGUCACCCCAGAGCAGAGACCCUCUGGAUGGGUCAAGUUCUCCACCCUCAGCUCCAGUAGAGAGACCUUGGGAAAAGAGUGAGACAUCACGUUUAUCACCAGCCAGAACCUGGACAAUCUUACCAGCCUAAACUCCGCAUUUUCUCUUCAUCAUUUUAAGGUUUCCGAUGACUCCUUUUUAAAACCUUUGCCUAAAAUUGAUUAUCCUUAUAAGGAAAAGAGUAUCAAGUGCCCAUUAAGUGAUCACAGAUAAUAAAAUUUGGGAAGACUUGCAAGACCAUGGGACCUGGCCAAGCCUCCAGGCAGAGAGAGUCAGGGAACACACUUCUCCUUGAAGCAGCUCCCCCCAUCCAUGGUGCACCUUUGCCUUCGGACCCCUCGGGAAGCUGGUUUCUCUGAUCCCCUUAAGGAGACACGGGGACAAUCAUGAGAUUCACCUUGCAACACAGUGGUCAGGAGGCUCCGGGACCUGCUUUUUUUAGAUUUGUAUUCCAACUCUGACUUUGUACCUACUCUGCAAGACUGCAGUUCUCCUUUUUUAAAAAA